Molecule: long non-coding RNA, 274 nt
Filed under: Equus asinus (donkey)
Lineage: Eukaryota; Metazoa; Chordata; Mammalia; Perissodactyla; Equidae
Description: lncRNA (ENSEASG00005033744.1)
Source: RNAcentral
CUGAAAUUCCAUCGUGGGGAGAGCCUUGUUUCCGAGAAGGCCCUGUACCUGGAGAAUCUCCAGUCCAGGGCUCCCUGGGGCGGCCUCCAGCUGUGGACGCCUUUUGGAAGUACGAUGGGGCGUAAAUAAACUGACGCUCAAGACGUCCCACAGACAGCCCCACCUCCUUCCAUCAGACUCCUGCGGCUGUGCGGAUUCAGAGCCUGGAGGGCAGACCCGCGGGCUCCUGGUGCACAGUCAGGCAAAGGCCCCGCAGGGGCGAGCUGCGAUCUCG